AACGAACGCUGGCGGCAGGCUUAACACAUGCAAGUCGAGCGCAUCCUUCGGGGUGAGCGGCGGACGGGUGAGUAACGCGUGGGAACGUGCCCUCUUCUACGGAAUAGCCUCGGGAAACUGAGAGUAAUGCCGUAUACGCCCGCAAGGGGAAAGAUUUAUCGGAGGAGGAUCGGCCCGCGUUGGAUUAGGUAGUUGGUGGGGUAACGGCCUACCAAGCGGACGAUCCAUAGCUGGUUUGAGAGGAUGAUCAGCCACACUGGGACUGAGACACGGCCCAGACUCCUACGGGAGGCAGCAGUGGGGAAUCUUGGACAAUGGGGGCAACCCUGAUCCAGCCAUGCCGCGUGAUCGAUGAAGGCCUUAGGGUUGUAAAGAUCUUUCAGCUGGGAAGAUAAUGACGGUACCAGCAGAAGAAGCCCCGGCUAACUCCGUG
Molecule: ribosomal RNA, 433 nt
Filed under: uncultured bacterium
Lineage: Bacteria
Description: partial 16S ribosomal RNA
Rfam family: Bacterial small subunit ribosomal RNA
Source: RNAcentral